Pseudopodoces humilis (Tibetan ground-tit) is the source of this 668-nucleotide non-coding RNA. The record is from RefSeq and is a predicted model, not a curated record. NCBI's taxonomy places the organism in Eukaryota, Metazoa, Chordata, Aves, Passeriformes, Paridae.
GCUGAGCAGGGCAGAUGUGCAAUUACUGGAAAUCCUUUUAAUGGCAGAGGAGUUCAAAGCUGGUAUACUUGCCAAAUUUCCUCUCUUGCAGAGCUUCAAAGCAAGAAUAAGCAAUAUCCCCACAAUAAAGAAAUUCCUGCAGCCUGGCAGCCGAAGGAAACCACCAUCAGAUGAGGAAGCUGUGGACACAGUGAUCAAAAUUUUCUUCUCCUGAACAGCACACUAAAGCUGCAGAAACUUUUUCAUUGUAUUUGUAGACUGUAGCAAAGUGAAAUUACUUAAAGGAGUGGAAAUGUCAAACCAAUGAAGAGUGAAGAAAUGGUUCCUGAUCUCUCCUUCCUUAGCUAUAGAGGAAUGGCUAGAUAGCAAAGGUCACGUUCCCAUGCAGCAGUUAGCUGGGAAAGAAUUAGACAAUGGAGUACAGUCGGUGUGAGGUGUUGCACAGUCAGGAAGACCUUAGUGAUAUCUGUUAACUGAGAACAGGAUGCUGUGAUCAGAAGAAUGUGAAUUCAGCAUAGAUGAGUGACCACAGGAAUGUGAAACUAGGUGGAGUUGACCUUAAAUGAAAUAUCCAAUAAUGAGCUUGCUUUUGCACUAUGUAUGAGCCUAAUUAUUGAUGCUAUAUAAGUGAUUUUAGAGUUACCAAUAAAUGAGACUUGCUGAUCAUU